RNAcentral lists this microRNA precursor (82 nucleotides) under Bombyx mori (domestic silkworm). Its description in RNAcentral is "mir-2807 microRNA precursor family". It matches the Rfam family "mir-2807 microRNA precursor family". The record is from Rfam by way of RNAcentral. Lineage: Eukaryota; Metazoa; Arthropoda; Insecta; Lepidoptera; Bombycidae.
UAAAAGUAUUUGUAUGAAAUGGGAUCGUUUGCGUACGUUUGCCGCUAGGGGCGCUGUUCCAACUGCAUACAAAAUUGGGUUA